RNAcentral lists this ribosomal RNA (382 nucleotides) under uncultured Thermus sp. RNAcentral describes it as "bacterial SSU rRNA". It matches the Rfam family "Bacterial small subunit ribosomal RNA", at positions 1002 to 1382 of the family's 1533-position model. The record is from RNAcentral. Lineage: Bacteria; Thermotogati; Deinococcota; Deinococci; Thermales; Thermaceae.
UGAAAGCCUGGGGUGCCCCGCGAGGGAGCCCUAGCACAGGUGCUGCAUGGCCGUCGUCAGCUCGUGCCGUGAGGUGUUGGGUUAAGUCCCGCAACGAGCGCAACCCCGCCGUUAGUUGCCAGCGGUUCGGCCGGGCACUCUAACGGGACUGCCCGCGAAAAGCGGGAGGAAGAGGGGACGACGUCUGGUCAGCAUGGCCCUUACGGCCUGGGCGACACACGUGCUACAAUGCCCACUACAAAGCGAGGCCACCCGGCAACGGGGAGUUAAUCGCAAAAAGGUGGGCCCAGUUCGGAUUGGGGUCUGCAACCCGACCCCAUGAAGCCGGAAUCGCUAGUAAUCGCGGAUCAGCCAUGCCGCGGUGAAUACGUUCCCGGGCCUU